This 465-nucleotide ribosomal RNA is filed under the name Vreelandella stevensii. RNAcentral's name for it is "partial 16S ribosomal RNA". It matches the Rfam family "Bacterial small subunit ribosomal RNA", at positions 338 to 795 of the family's 1533-position model. The record is from RNAcentral. Lineage: Bacteria; Pseudomonadati; Pseudomonadota; Gammaproteobacteria; Oceanospirillales; Halomonadaceae.
CCUACGGGUGGCAGCAGUGGGGAAUAUUGGACAAUGGGGGGAACCCUGAUCCAGCCAUGCCGCGGGUGUGAAGAAGGCCCUCGGGUUGUAAAGAACUUUCAGUGAGGAAGAACGCCUGGUGGUUAAUACCCAUCAGGAAAGACAUCACUCACAGAAGAAGCACCGGCUAACUCCGUGCCAGCAGCCGCGGUAAUACGGAGGGUGCGAGCGUUAAUCGGAAUUACUGGGCGUAAAGCGCGCGUAGGUGGCUUGAUAAGCCGGUUGUGAAAGCCCCGGGCUCAACCUGGGAACGGCAUCCGGAACUGUCAAGCUAGAGUGCAGGAGAGGAAGGUAGAAUUCCCGGUGUAGCGGUGAAAUGCGUAGAGAUCGGGAGGAAUACCAGUGGCGAAGGCGGCCUUCUGGACUGACACUGACACUGAGGUGCGAAAGCGUGGGUAGCAAACAGGAUUAGAUACCCCAGUAGUC